Molecule: long non-coding RNA, 953 nt
Organism: Rosa chinensis
Lineage: Eukaryota; Viridiplantae; Streptophyta; Magnoliopsida; Rosales; Rosaceae
Exons: 2
Source: RefSeq, a predicted model, not a curated record
UAACUUGUGAAAAUCUCUGUUGCUCGGAUGUUUUGCUCAUACAUAGCCUGGUUUCUUGUCUCGCGUCAUUAAUGGGUGCCACUCUCAAUGAACAUUGAAUACAUACUUACAGUUUUAUUUGAUCUUUCUACUCACUCAUUGUUUGUUAUAUUCUACAUUAAGGAAACAGGCUUUACUGCAUAUGUAAUCUACAAAUAUUCUGGAUACUAGAUUUUUUUUUUUUUUUUGCCUUUGCCUGAAUUGAAAUAAAAAGAGUAGAUAGCAUGUGGAAUGGACCAUUAGGCAUCAGCAUUAGUAUUCACAUUUUCAACGGAUGAUUACCAAACGAUAAGGCAGAUUGUCACAUUUGCAGUCUUUCUUGUCAUUUUAAUUGUGUUGUCUCUUUAUCUGCAAAAGUGAAUUGCUAGCCCUUGUGUUAGAUGACCUCCAAAAGUUAAGAAAAUAUUGAGAAUUAUACACGACUUCCUUAGAAUCAUAAGUUGUUUGCUAUGUCUGCUUAGGCACCAGGUAUCUGUUCUUUUAAUUGUUUCUUGUCUGAUUUGCAUGAAUAGCCCCUAAUCAACGAGAAGAAGGUAAGCUUUAUAUCUGUCUUUUGUGUUACUUCCUAAAUUUAGAGUAAUAUAUGGAACCAUACAAACUUGUACUUGCUCCAAAUCUCUUAUUCCCAUAAGCAUUUUAUGCUUAUUUUCAUUGAGUUUGCUACCCGUGGUUUAGGACUGAAAUGCAACAUCUUAAAAAAUCUUGUAUAGCUAGCAAGACAUUCUCAGUGAAACAGAAGAAAGGAAAAGCUUUGAAAGGCAUGUGGAUUUCUUCCAUUUAUAAGGGAGGGGCUGCCAUUUGAUGGCUUGGAUACUCCUAGUUGAAGUGUGCGAUUGUAAUUGAUUGGUAGCAUGGCAUUGAAAAUUAUUGGCAUUGUAUCCAUUAUAUCUACGAUAAUUAGCUCAUAAUAAGAA